GACGAACGCUGGCGGCGUGCCUAACACAUGCAAGUCGAACGGGACUGAUUGGAAAGCGGGCUUCGGGCCAAUGGAAGAUCAGUUUAGUGGCGAACGGGUGAGUAACACGUGAGGAACCUGCCUUUCAGUGGGGGACAACAGUUGGAAACGACUGCUAAUACCGCAUAAUGUACUAUAGGGGCAUCCCUUAAGUACCAAAGCUUUAUGUGCUGAAAGAUGGCCUCGCGUCUGAUUAGAUAGUUGGUGGGGUAACGGCCUACCAAGUCAACGAUCAGUAGCCGGUCUGAGAGGAUGAACGGCCACAUUGGGACUGAGAUACGGCCCAGACUCCUACGGGAGGCAGCAGUGGGGAAUAUUGGGCAAUGGGGGAAACCCUGACCCAGCAACGCCGCGUGAAGGAAGAAGGCCCUCGGGUUGUAAACUCUUUUAGCAGGGACGAAGAACGUGACGGUACCUGCAGAAAAAGCAACGGCUAACUACGUG
Molecule: ribosomal RNA, 483 nt
Filed under: uncultured bacterium
Lineage: Bacteria
Description: bacterial SSU rRNA
Rfam family: Bacterial small subunit ribosomal RNA
Source: RNAcentral